AAAAUAAAAAAAUGUUUAAUAAUGUUACAGUAUGCUUAUCGUAACAUUUUUACAUUGUGAAAUGUAGAAGAAAUGAAGCACCGUGCCAAUAAUAUUAUCUUUGAGCUAAUUAGGUUGAAUUACUUUUUGGAUUAGGAUUAAGGUUAUUUUUGUCAAAAAAUAAAAAAUUAGCACAGCUUUUUAUGAACAUCUCUAUUCAUAGAGCUCAUAUAAAAUGCAGUUAAUAGGCACCCUAUCAAUUUUCAUCUAGUUUUUUUUAAGAUUUACCAAAGGU
Molecule: unclassified non-coding RNA, 274 nt
Filed under: Hevea brasiliensis (rubber tree)
Lineage: Eukaryota; Viridiplantae; Streptophyta; Magnoliopsida; Malpighiales; Euphorbiaceae
Source: RNAcentral